AAAUUACUCUGAACUAUAAUUAUCUCUUUUGUCUUUUCACUAUUAUUUCUGUUUGUAAAUAGUAUAUUGCUCUUUAUUCAUGGUUAUUGAAAAAUAGGGGCCUUACUUAAAAGUCCAACUGGAUUUCCAAAGGUCCCUAGCCCUUUAUAUUAUUAUAUUCUCAUAUGCUUUGUAUGUACUAUUUAAAACAUGAGCAGCAGUGUUUUAUCAGAUAUAAAGAUACGAGGCGAAGCCGAGUAUCUUUAGGUCUGAUAAAACACGCACUGCGAAUGUUUUAAAUUGCUUCAAAAACGAUCGAUCUAGUAAGUUCAUUGGCGAAGUNNNNNNNNNNNNNNNNNNNNUUUUCAAAAAAUACGUUGUGUAAGUCGAGAAAAUCAAAGUUAAAGUUUAUGUAAAUCAAGGGAAAUCUCUAUCACAUAUAAAGAUACGAC
RNAcentral lists this long non-coding RNA (431 nucleotides) under Paramuricea clavata. Lineage: Eukaryota; Metazoa; Cnidaria; Anthozoa; Malacalcyonacea; Plexauridae. The record is from RNAcentral.